RNAcentral lists this ribosomal RNA (460 nucleotides) under uncultured bacterium. Its description in RNAcentral is "bacterial SSU rRNA". It matches the Rfam family "Bacterial small subunit ribosomal RNA", at positions 340 to 786 of the family's 1533-position model. The record is from RNAcentral.
UACGGAAGGCAGCAGUGGGGAAUAUUGCACAAUGGGCGAAAGCCUGAUGCAGCUAUGCCGCGUGUAUGAAGAAGGCCUUAGGGUUGUAAAGUACUUUUCAUCGGGGAGGAAAAAACAAAACUAAUAAUUUUAUUUUCUUGACGUUACCCGAAAAAGAAGCACCGGCUAACUCCGUGCCAGCAGCCGCGGUAAUACGGAGGGUGCUAGCGUUAAUCAGAAUUACUGAGCGUAAAGAAGCACGUAGGUGGUUUUUUUAAGUUCAGAUGUGAAAUCCCUGGGCUUAACCUAGGAACUGCAUUUUGAAACUGAAAUACUAGAGUAUCGUAGAGGGAGGUAGAAUUCUAGGUGUAGCGGUGAAAUGCGUAGAUAUCUGGAGGAAUACCUGUGGCGAAAGCGGCCUCCUAAACGAAUACUGACACUGAGGUGCGAAAGCGUGGGGAGCAAACAGGGAUUAGAUACC